AAUAAAACCAAAUCUCUCGCUCGCUCACAUAAUUCCGACUCUCACAAAACCCCCAAAAUCCGAAAACGAUAGAAAACUCAACCCCUAACCCUAGAUUUCCCGAUGACCAGCGACGCCCAGGACUCGCAUCGCAAGCACCGCGGUGCCUCUUCCGAUGACGAAGAGGCCGUCGAGAAGUCGUCCAAGCGCCACAAGCACCGCCACCACCGCCGCCACCAUCGUCACCGUCACGGCAGCAAAAAGCGCGAAGAGGAGACCAAGGCCGUCGUCGACGAUGUCGAAGCUCCUCCACCGCCGCCUGUUGAGUUAUAUGAUUCCGGUGUCAAUGGUUCUAUGCCGGUUGAAGACGUGGAGGAAGGCGAAAUUCUCGACGAGGAGGGUGUCGGUGGUCGCGAUGAUGGGGUUUCCAAUGCGGAGUCUGGUGAAAUUGAGACUCCUGGAGUUGGCGAUCAUUCUAAUAAGCGGAAUCUGAGAGACAAUAACAUCAAUAAAAAUACAAAGACUGUGGGACACCUGCAUGAUGAUGAUGAUGAUGAUGAUGAUGCCCGCGGUCGUGUUGGUGGCAAGUCUCGGAAUGAGGCUGGUUUGCCUAGAGAUUCUAGGCGACACAGGGAGUCUGGGUCUCCUUCUAGAGGAAGUGAUAAGAGAAAGAAUUACUUUGAUGAUGAAAAAGUGUAUGAAGAUGGAAGUAAAUCAGCUAAUGGGAAAAAGUUAUCCUCUGGAAGUAGUGGGGACAAGUACAAUACCUUGGUGCGUUCACCAUCUUGUGAUAGGCGCGGUGACGAGCUACAUGGUAGGGGCAGAUCAAGGUCGUAUGACCGUUUGAGGGAGAGAUCUCGUUCCCGCAGUAUAAUAGAAGAAGAGUCUCUUUCGAAGAGGAGACAUUAUCAUGAACGGGACACCUCUGUGUAUGUUGAGAAAAGCAAGGCUGUGCACGGCUCUGAUGAUGAAGGAUUGACUCCUGGUAUUGACAGUGUUGAUCUGAGGAGGGAUGAUGAAAGGGAACACAAUAUUAGUUAUAGCAGAUACUCUGGAUUAGGCCAUAGUCGAGAAAGAGAGAGAAGUAGGGAGAGGGAGGUGGGUCAGGAGCAGAGAAGGGAGAAAGAUCAAGAAAGAAUCAGGGACAAUGAACGGAGAAGGGAGAAAGAAAGAGAAAGGAGUAGUGACAGGGAUUUGGUUAGGGAUAGGAAAAGGGGAAUAGGACGAGAGCAUAGCAGGGAAAGAGUGAUUUAUAUGGAAAGGAGAAGGGAAGAGCGACAUAGGAGCAGGGACAUUGAGAAUAGGGACAGGAAUAGGGAUGAUAGUAAUAGGAGCAGGGACAGGGUCAAGGAUGAUAGGGACAGAAACAUGGAGAGGGGCCGAGAUAGGGCCAAAGAUACAGACCGAAAAUGGGAGAGGCGAGAUGAUAGAGACAGGGAUAGGGGUCGAGAUAUGGAGAGGGAGAAAUAUGAGCAUCAUGAGGAUAUCUAUGGAAACCGAGAUAGGCAUAAAUCUGCUCGAUCAAGGCACAAUGGAAAAGGAUACGACCAGGACCGAAGAAGUAAAACUGAUCCAGCAAAGGUACAGAGUCCAAAGAAUUAUUCUGUCGAAGGGGAUGAAGACAUGUUAGAAAGAGAUGAAGAUGAAGAAGAAAGCAUUCAAGUUGCUGGCCAGGAAGAGGAUGAUGUGGAUAGAAUCAAGGAAGAGUCUCGAAGAAUAAAACAAGCCAUCUUAGAAAAAUAUAAAAGUCAGCAGUCACAGCAAACAAAAGAGUUGCGUCUACAAGAACAAACUGAGUCACAGUUGCAAAAGCAAUUUGAGCCUCAGCCUCUGGAGCAAUCAGUGGAUAAAGGUUCUGCAGAUCAUCUGGAGCAAUCAGCAGCUUCUGUCAAACCUGGUCUAGAAACUGAUGAUGGAAGGAGUGAUGGGGAUGUGUCUGUUGCUGCAUUUUCUGUUUCACCUCAGCAGAAUGGUGCUGAUACUUCUAGAAUGCCUUCUGGUGCCACGGGGCUUGGAGAGGGUACUCCAGAGAGUGAAGGAGCUGUUGCCGUUGAUGAUAUCUUUGGUGAGACCCCAGUUGGAGUUCAAAAAUUGGGAAAAGGAGAUCGUGUACAAAUUGAAAGGAGUGGUAUUCAUGAUAACUGGGAUGAUGCAGAAGGGUACUACAGUUACCGGUUUGGAGAAUUACUUGAUGCUCGAUAUGAAAUCACUGCUGCUCAUGGGAAGGGUGUCUUUUCGACAGUCGUCCGUGCAAAGAACCUUACAGUUGGUAAUGGUGAACCUGAAGAAGUGGCAAUUAAGAUGAUACGGAGCAAUGACACUAUGUUAAAGGCCGGUAUGACUGAGUUGACCAUAUUGAAGAAAUUAGCAGGUCACGAUCCAGAUAAUAAGCGCCACUGUGUUCGUUUUCUGUCGAAUUUCAAGUAUCGAAAUCAUCUUUGUUUAGUGUUUGAAUCCCUUCAUAUGAAUCUUCGUGAGGUCUUAAAGAAGUUUGGGCGCAAUAUUGGUCUUAAGCUAACUGGCGUCAGAGAAUAUGCUAAGCAACUUUUUAUUGCACUGAAGCAUUUAAAGAACUGCGGUGUCCUUCAUUGUGAUAUAAAGCCAGAUAACAUGCUGGUAAAUGAGUCAAAAAAUGUAUUGAAGCUGUGUGAUUUUGGUAAUGCCAUGUUCGCUGGAAAGAAUGAAGUUACACCAUACCUCGUCAGCCGCUUUUAUCGUGCUCCUGAAAUAAUUCUUGGCUUGCCUUAUGAUCAUCCACUGGAUAUCUGGUCAGUUGGUUGCUGUUUGUACGAACUUUAUACAGGAAAAGUUCUUUUUCCCGGUGCUACAAACAAUGAUAUGCUACGUCUACACAUGGAACUGAAAGGCCCUUUCCCAAAGAAGAUGCUUCGUAAGGGAGCUUUUACACAUCAACAUUUUGAUCAGGAUCUGAACUUCCAUGCUACAGAAGAUGAUCCUGUUACAAAGAAGGCAAUCAAUCGGGUGAUUUUUAAUAUAAAGCUAAAAGAUAUUGGAUCACUUAUUACGGGUUCUGGUGAGAAUGCAAAGAUGCUAGCUGACUUUAAAGAUCUUUUAGAUAAAAUGUUUGUAUUGGAUCCAGAUAAGAGGUUGACAGUAUCACAAGCUUUGAACCAUCCAUUCAUCACUGGCAAGUGAACCCUGUUGCUGAUUUUCUGACUACAGAAUUCGCGCUAGAUAUUUGUACAUUUUGAUCUAAUUCAUACAGUUUCUAAUAAUUGGGCAUUAUCUCUCUUCUCUGUGAUGGCCUGAGAGCUUUUGGCACAGUUUUGGCAUGGUUGAAGUCAGAGGGGGUGAUGUUUUGGUCAGGAGUACUCAUCACUGGCGGGGGUUCUUUCACUUGUACUGUUUCUAUCGUAAGACAACUAGCCAAAGGCGUCUUUUCCCCCUGAUAUGUGAUACUGCUAUGAGGCAACCCUCCAGUGCUUAGAUGAUUAAAAGGAACCCAGGAGAAGGUACCUUGGUUUUGCUUAUUUGGAGAAUAUUGUGAGGGACUUGGAAAUAGAUGACUUUAUGUUUCAUGCUUUGUUUUUCUGUUCCUAGAUGAAGCUACUGGGUUGACUUGGAAAUCUAUUUAAUUUGAGUCUUAGUGUCGCUGCUCUAGAUUAAUUUGACGACUUCUUGUAGCUUCUUUCUCUUCUUUUCUUUCUGGUGUCUGCUAUUUGGUCUGCGUUUGAAAUUGUGAGGAGGGUUACUUUAUUACUACUGUAUUUGUUAUCUGAAUGUAUUAAUGCAUGUACAUGCACUCUGAAAUGUGCAUUGGUUCUUCUAAAACAGGGUUCAGUUGACGCGUUGUACCAUGUCAUGUUUGUUUUAUUUGACGUCAUACUAAAUGCAUGAAAUUGUAUUCAGACAUCUGUUUUCCUUUCAGUCUUUGUAUGUGCUUGAGAGCAUUAUAUUUAUUACUUAUUUUUGUUUGUUCUACCUUUUAAAUAUCUGCAUAUCCUAAUGAGAUUGCAUUGCAUCUGAUUCAUGGUCAUUCUGGAGGCACUUGCACAGGAGGCAUGAGGCUGCUGUUUGAUCUAGAACAAAUUCAGAGGUAUGCCCCCCAUGCUUCUGCUCCUGCGCCAUCUGUACGUAUAUUCAAAUCAUAGUUUUUAUUUAUUUUGGUGUGCAGUUUUUGUGAAGCAAAAUUUUACUUGUAUUCCUAUGGAAAAUACUUUAGAAAUAUGGCUAUAACGUGGAUACUGGCUAACAGUUUUGUUAAGACUUUAGGAACCUAAAGAAAACACAAUUUAAUUCCUAUUGAAAAAUUAAAACAUUAACUAGCAUAAUUGGUCUCCCUUGAAACUGAUGUACUUAUGGAUGUUGCUUAACCUUAUUUGAUUUCACGACAUUGAACUGCACUUUCGAACACCUGGAAGGAAUACAAUGCCAUGAAAUCAAAUAAGGUUAAGCCACAUUGUUGGCCUGCACCUUCAGAGGUUGAUUCUUGUUAUUUGUCGGCUACUAAAAAAUUAUUACUUGUACCCUUGUGCGCCCGACUUCAGUUUCUCUUUACCAUUUUCUUAUGACUUGACAAUUCUUUCGUUGUUCUUCAUUAUCGAUGUUCUGGAAAGGAGUUGAUAAUGUCAAAUAAGCUGUUUUGUUUAUAAUCAGUUUCAAUAGAAUAUAGUGAUAGAAGGCCUUGAAAGAAAGGAAUGUAUUGCCUUGGGAUUGCUUCUAUUAUUGUUUGUAGCUGUUUUCAUGUAAUUAGUUCGGGUUUUGCUCUUGUUUUUCCGUUUGAUGUUCACCGCCGGCAAGUUAUUGUUAUACAAGUUAUGCUGAUCUAAUGACAGAUAUACUCGUAUUUAACUCGAGAUGUUAUGCUAGCUACCCAUUCAGCCGGGUUGAUUUGUAAUUUGAGAUGAAAGUGUUAAUAGUCGUAUGUAUUCUGCAUAUUUUCCCUCUAGUUUUAUUGUUUAUUUUCAUCGUACUGAACUGUAACCGGGAUCAACUUUCUUUGGUGUGCUACAUAAUUUACAUUGACGAUGCAAGGGUUGUAAUCUUUCGGUUCCAGACAUUUUGUAAUACUUAUGUUAACGCGUGUGGUAUGGCAAUCGGUGUUGAUGUUAUAUAUCCAA
Non-coding RNA from Malus domestica (apple), 5060 nucleotides. NCBI's taxonomy places the organism in Eukaryota, Viridiplantae, Streptophyta, Magnoliopsida, Rosales, Rosaceae. The record is from RefSeq and is a predicted model, not a curated record.